UCCAGACUCCUACGGGAGGCAGCAGUGGGGAAUAUUGCACAAUGGGGGGAACCCUGAUGCAGCGACGCCGCGUGAGUGAAGAAGUAUUUCGGUAUGUAAAGCUCUAUCAGCAGGGACGAAGGUGACGGUACCUGCAGAAGAAGCCCCGGCUAACUACGUGCCAGCAGCCGCGGUAAUACGUAUGGUGCAAGCGUUAUCCGGAUUUACUGGGCGUAAAGGGAGCGCAGGCGGCGCGCCAAGUCUGAUGUGAAACCCCGGGGCUCAACCCCGGGCAUGCAUUGGAAACUGGCGGGCUGGAGUGCCGGAGAGGUAAGCGGAAUUCCUAGUGUAGCGGUGAAAUGCGUAGAUAUUAGGAGGAACACCAGUGGCGAAGGCGGCUUACUGGACGGCAACUGACGCUGAGGCUCGAAAGCGUGGGGAGCAAACGGGAUUAGAUACCCGUGUAC
RNAcentral lists this ribosomal RNA (446 nucleotides) under uncultured bacterium. RNAcentral describes it as "partial 16S ribosomal RNA". It matches the Rfam family "Bacterial small subunit ribosomal RNA", at positions 330 to 793 of the family's 1533-position model. The record is from RNAcentral.